This 76-nucleotide transfer RNA is filed under the name Sphingobium indicum UT26S. Its description in RNAcentral is "Sphingobium japonicum UT26S tRNA-Cys (GCA)". It matches the Rfam family "tRNA". From Rfam's summary of the family: Transfer RNA (tRNA) molecules are approximately 80 nucleotides in length. Their secondary structure includes four short double-helical elements and three loops (D, anti-codon, and T loops). The record is from RNAcentral. Lineage: Bacteria; Pseudomonadati; Pseudomonadota; Alphaproteobacteria; Sphingomonadales; Sphingobiaceae.
AGGCCCGAUGGCGGAGUGGUGACGCAGCGGACUGCAAAUCCGUAUACGCCGGUUCGAUUCCGGCUCGGGCCUCCAU